This 253-nucleotide ribosomal RNA is filed under the name uncultured bacterium. RNAcentral's name for it is "partial 16S ribosomal RNA". It matches the Rfam family "Bacterial small subunit ribosomal RNA", at positions 524 to 776 of the family's 1533-position model. The record is from RNAcentral.
UACGUAGGGUGCAAGCGUUAAUCGGAAUUACUGGGCGUAAAGCGUGCGCAGGCGGUGAUGUAAGACAGUUGUGAAAUCCCCGGGCUCAACCUGGGAACUGCAUCUGUGACUGCAUCGCUGGAGUACGGUAGAGGGGGAUGGAAUUCCGCGUGUAGCAGUGAAAUGCGUAGAGAUGUGGAGGAACACCAAUGGCGAAGGCAGCCUUCUGGGCCAACACUGACGCUCAUGCACGAAAGCGUGGGGAGCAAACAGG